UAUAUAUUUAGUCUCUUUUUAACCUCCACAAUCAUGUAUUUGAACUAAUGUUUGAAUAAACAAGAACUCAAACUAAGUAUUGCACAAAUAUAGCCUAAAAUGUAGAAAAAAGUAUUGUGAUAAAAUUUGAGUGGCACUUACACUCGAUGCACCUAAGAAAGGAAGAUGGCUAUAGCCUAUUAAGUUUGAAGAUAGAUUUGCUAUUAUCAAGAAUAUUCAUAUAUUCUUGAUACUUUAGGGAUAUCUAUGAUAUUUUUUAAAAUUUUGAUAUACAACUUAUACAUAAUUGUCAUUGAAAAUUCUUAGUAUUUGUUUUGAUUAUUUUAACAUUAAAUAAUGUAUAUUUUAUUUUGUAGAUGUACACAAAAAACAAAGAAUAACACAAUAGAGUUCUU
RNAcentral lists this long non-coding RNA (395 nucleotides) under Physcomitrium patens. Its description in RNAcentral is "long non-coding RNA (PPAT_LNC004336)". The record is from RNAcentral. Lineage: Eukaryota; Viridiplantae; Streptophyta; Bryopsida; Funariales; Funariaceae.